Molecule: ribosomal RNA, 405 nt
Filed under: uncultured bacterium
Lineage: Bacteria
Description: partial 16S ribosomal RNA
Rfam family: Bacterial small subunit ribosomal RNA
Source: RNAcentral
GAUGAACGCUGGCGGCGUGCCUAAUACAUGCAAGUCGAGCGACGAGGGGACGGGUGUGUAACACGUGGAUAACCUCCCAUAAGACUGGGAUAACCUCGGGAAACCGGUGCCUAUCCGGAUUAUUAUCGAUGGAUCCGCUCUGCAUUAGCUAGUUGGUAGGGUAACGGCUUACCAAGGCAACGACGCAUAGCCGACCUGAGAGGGUGAGCGGCCACACUGGAACUGAGACACGGUCCAGACUCCUACGGGAGGCAGCAGUAGGGAAUCUUCGGCAAUGGGCGAAAGCCUGACGGAGCAACACCGCGUGGGUGAUGAAGGUCUUCGGAUCGUAAAACGCUGUUAUUAGGGAAGCGGUACCUAAAGAAAAAGCCACGGCUAACUACGUGCCAGCAGCCGCGGUAAUAC